CGUGGGGCCUGCGUUCCAUGCAGUCGACGAACCCUUCGGGGUUAGUGGCGCACGGGUGCGUAACGCGUGGGAACCUGCCUUUAGGUUCGGAAUAACAGUUAGAAAUGACUGCUAAUACCGGAUAAUGUCUUCGGACCAAAGAUUUAUUGCCUUUAGAUGGGCCCGCGUUGGAUUAGAUAGUUGGUGGGGUAAUGGCCUACCAAGUCGACGAUCCAUAGCUGGUCUGAGAGGAUGAUCAGCCACACUGGGACUGAGACACGGCCCAGACUCCUACGGGAGGCAGCAGUGGGGAAUAUUGGACAAUGGGCGAAAGCCUGAUCCAGCAAUGCCGCGUGAGUGAUGAAGGCCUUAGGGUUGUAAAGCUCUUUUACCAGGGAUGAUAAUGACAGUACCUGGAGAAUAAGCUCCGGCUAACUCCGUGCCAGCAGCCGCGGUAAUACGGAGGGAGCUAGCGUUGUUCGGAAUUACUGGGCGUAAAGCGCACGUAGGCGGCUUUUCAAGUCAGGGGUGAAAUCCCGGGGUUCAACCCCGGAAGUGCCCUUGAAACUGGAUGGCUAGAAUACUGAAGUAGGCGAGUGGAAUUCCGAGUGUUUUUGUGAAGGUCGUACAUUUUUCGGAAUAACUUCAGUGGCUAAA
Molecule: ribosomal RNA, 636 nt
Filed under: Erythrobacter sp.
Lineage: Bacteria; Pseudomonadati; Pseudomonadota; Alphaproteobacteria; Sphingomonadales; Erythrobacteraceae
Description: bacterial SSU rRNA
Rfam family: Bacterial small subunit ribosomal RNA
Source: RNAcentral